CCGAGGGUGACCUUGGUCCCGAGGAAUAACAUCUCAAGUCGUCUUGAAAAUCGUCCUCGCAUCGUCGCAUCUCUAUAAGACAUCGGGACGCCAAAUGCCUGAACACACCGACAACGCCAACGUCUUCUUUAACCGAGAUCGAUAACGCACUCGUCCACCAAGUCAAUCUUGUUUUGAACGAGAACCGUUGGGAUCUCGCCACACUCGUUCUCAACCUGGAACGUGAUAAUCAGGCCAUGAAUAUGUGAUCGUAGAAGCCUCGAGGGUGGAAGAGGGAAAGAGGAGACGGCGAGUAAUAAAAAAAAUUCAAGAGACCAUUCCAAUACGGUGGCGUUCAUCGAUUUUGUUAACUGACGGAAUCAGCAUAGUUCAAAAAUCUCUUUCCCAGGGAAUAUUCGUGUCCUGGGACUCUUACAGAGUGUCUUUCGAAUCGGAGCAGAGCUCCAGAGAGAGGGCAAUUGAAGCGUGUGAUCCUCAGGAGAAAAUUAAGUCAUUUUUGACGAGUGCGUCCUUUCAGAGUAUCGGAUAAUUGGAAAUAAACUAUUGAGCUCGUAGAUCGGAA
Molecule: long non-coding RNA, 562 nt
Organism: Venturia canescens
Lineage: Eukaryota; Metazoa; Arthropoda; Insecta; Hymenoptera; Ichneumonidae
Exons: 2
Source: RefSeq, a predicted model, not a curated record